Molecule: ribosomal RNA, 889 nt
Filed under: Cosmospora viridescens
Lineage: Eukaryota; Fungi; Ascomycota; Sordariomycetes; Hypocreales; Nectriaceae
Description: partial large subunit ribosomal RNA
Rfam family: Eukaryotic large subunit ribosomal RNA
Source: RNAcentral
AUAUCAAUAAGCGGAGGAAAAGAAACCAACAGGGAUUGCCCUAGUAACGGCGAGUGAAGCGGCAACAGCUCAAAUUUGAAAUCUGGCCCUCGGGUCCGAGUUGUAAUUUGUAGAGGAUGCUUUUGGUGAGGUGCCUUCCGAGUUCCCUGGAACGGGACGCCAUAGAGGGUGAGAGCCCCGUCUGGUUGGACACCGAGCCUCUGUAAAGCUCCUUCGACGAGUCGAGUAGUUUGGGAAUGCUGCUCUAAAUGGGAGGUAUAUGUCUUCUAAAGCUAAAUAUUGGCCAGAGACCGAUAGCGCACAAGUAGAGUGAUCGAAAGAUGAAAAGCACUUUGAAAAGAGGGUUAAAUAGUACGUGAAAUUGUUGAAAGGGAAGCGCUUGUGACCAGACUUGAGCCCGGUUAAUCAUCCAGCCUUCUGGCUGGUGCACUUGGCCGGCUCAGGCCAGCAUCAGUUCGGCGUGGGGGAUAAAGGCUUCGGGAAUGUGGCUCCUCCGGGAGUGUUAUAGCCCGUUGCGUAAUACCCUGUACUGGACUGAGGUUCGCGCAUCUGCAAGGAUGCUGGCGUAAUGGUCAUCAGCGACCCGUCUUGAAACACGGACCAAGGAGUCGUCCUCGUAUGCGAGUGUUCGGGUGUCAAACCCCUACGCGUAAUGAAAGUGAACGCAGGUGAGAGCUUCGGCGCAUCAUCGACCGAUCCAGAUGUUCUCGGACGGAUUUGAGUAAGAGCAUACGGGGCCGGACCCGAAAGAAGGUGAACUAUGCCUGUAUAGGGUGAAGCCAGAGGAAACUCUGGUGGAGGCUCGCAGCGGUUCUGACGUGCAAAUCGAUCGUCAAAUAUGGGCAUGGGGGCGAAAGACUAAUCGAACCUUCUAGUAGCUGGUUUCCGC